This 349-nucleotide ribosomal RNA is filed under the name Weissella confusa. Its description in RNAcentral is "partial 23S ribosomal RNA". It matches the Rfam family "Bacterial large subunit ribosomal RNA", at positions 1255 to 1603 of the family's 2925-position model. The record is from RNAcentral. Lineage: Bacteria; Bacillati; Bacillota; Bacilli; Lactobacillales; Lactobacillaceae.
UGCAGGAGGACGACUUCUGCUGGAGCUUAUGGAAAAGCAAAUGUAGGUAUAAGUAACGAUAAGGAGGGUGAGAUUCCCUCCCGCCAUAAGACCAAGGUUUCCCGGGCCAUGUCAAUCAGCCCGGGGUCAGUCGGGUCCUAAGGCUCAGCCGAGCGGCGAUGCCGAUGGCCGACACGGUUAAUAUUCCGUGACUUCCCUUAUGAGCGAUGUGGUGACGGAGCAGUGGAACUGCCGCGGGCUGACGGAAUAGCCCGUUAACAGGUGUAGGAGCUGACUGGGACAGGCAAAUCCGUCCCAUGAUCCGACCCUUACAGUACCGGCCUCCCCUCGGGGCGGCUGGACAGCGCAG